GACGAACGCUGGCGGCGCGCUUAACACAUGCAAGUCGAGCGAGAACCAGGGCUUCGGCUCUGGGGAAAGCGGCGAACGGGUGAGUAACACGUGGGUGACCUGCCCUUAGCUCUGGGAUAAGCCUGGGAAACUGGGUCUAAUACCGGAUAUGACUCCAUGAUGCAUGUUGUGGGGUGGAAAGCCUUGUGCGGCUGGAGAUGGGCCCGCGGCCUAUCAGCUUGUUGGUGGGGNGAUGGCCUACCAAGGCGACGACGGGUAGCCGGCCUGAGAGGGCGACCGGCCACACUGGGACUGAGACACGGCCCAGACUCCUACGGGAGGCAGCAGUGGGGAAUCUUGCGCAAUGGGCGAAAGCCUGACGCAGCGACGCCGCGUGAGGGAUGACGGCCUGGUGUAAC
RNAcentral lists this ribosomal RNA (398 nucleotides) under uncultured bacterium. RNAcentral's name for it is "bacterial SSU rRNA". It matches the Rfam family "Bacterial small subunit ribosomal RNA", at positions 28 to 429 of the family's 1533-position model. The record is from RNAcentral.